GAUGAACGCUGGCGGCGUGCCUAAUACAUGCAAGUCGAGCGAACAGACGAGGAGCUUGCUCCUCUGACGUUAGCGGCGGACGGGUGAGUAACACGUGGAUAACCUACCUAUAAGACUGGGAUAACUUCGGGAAACCGGAGCUAAUACCGGAUAAUAUAUUGAACCGCAUGGUUCAAUAGUGAAAGACGGUUUUGCUGUCACUUAUAGAUGGAUCCGCGCCGCAUUAGCUAGUUGGUAAGGUAACGGCUUACCAAGGCAACGAUGCGUAGCCGACCUGAGAGGGUGAUCGGCCACACUGGAACUGAGACACGGUCCAGACUCCUACGGGAGGCAGCAGUAGGGAAUCUUCCGCAAUGGGCGAAAGCCUGACGGAGCAACGCCGCGUGAGUGAUGAAGGCCUUCGGAUCGUAAAACUCUGUUAUUAGGGAAGAACAAAUGUGUAAGUAACUAUGCACGUCUUGACGGUACCUAAUCAGAAAGCCACGGCUAACCACGUG
This 497-nucleotide ribosomal RNA is filed under the name uncultured bacterium. Its description in RNAcentral is "partial 16S ribosomal RNA". It matches the Rfam family "Bacterial small subunit ribosomal RNA", at positions 28 to 507 of the family's 1533-position model. The record is from RNAcentral.